RNAcentral lists this ribosomal RNA (378 nucleotides) under uncultured bacterium. RNAcentral describes it as "bacterial SSU rRNA". It matches the Rfam family "Bacterial small subunit ribosomal RNA", at positions 963 to 1340 of the family's 1533-position model. The record is from RNAcentral.
GAAGAACCUUACCCCGCCUUGACAUCCCAGGAAUUUUACAGAAAAAGGGGUGUUCCUUAAGGGAAACCGGGACACAGGUGGCGCAUGGGUGUUGUCAGCUUGUGUUGUGAGGUUGUGGGUUAAGUCCCGCAACGAGCGCAACCCUUCUCCUUAAGUUCCAUCAUUCAGUUGGGCACUCUAAUGAGACUGCCGGUGACAAACCGGAGGAAGGUGGGGAUGACGUCAAGUCCUCAUGGCCCUUAUGGGUAGGGCUACACACGUGAUACAAUGGCCGGUACAAAGGGUUGCCAACCCGCGAGGGGGAGCCAAUCCCACAAAGCCGGUCUCAGUCCGGAUUGCAGUCUGCAACUCGACUCCAUGAAGUCGGAAUCGCUAGUA